Molecule: long non-coding RNA, 1426 nt
Filed under: Chrysemys picta bellii (western painted turtle)
Lineage: Eukaryota; Metazoa; Chordata; Testudines; Emydidae
Description: lncRNA (ENSCPBG00000021059.1)
Source: RNAcentral
ACAGAUGGUAAAGCAGUUUCCUCCAGCCAAUUCAGGCUGAGAUGGCUCGGGGGGAAACACAGAGGUAGGCAGCCAUGCAGGAAACCAUCAAACCAAGAAGGUAGUGUUGUUAUAUCACAGCCUGGGGGACUUUGGAGAGAGCCUUACACAGCUGCAGAGGAAGGGCAUGUGUGCGCCAGUCCCCAGCCCUACCCUGCGAGUACUGGAGCCCACAAUAACCUCUCUCUCUCUUGUUCACACAUACACCCACACACCCCUCUCAUACUCCCCACCACAGGAAGCCCAGCUGAAAUAAAUCAGCCACUAGCCCUUUCCUCCCCUCAGCUGAGGCUGUUCAUAUACAGGCUCCUACUCUGUCUACAGCUGCUGAAGGAUCCCUGUCCGGCUCCUCCCAGAAAAGACACAGCCACAGAAGCCAGUGAACUACUGCAGCUCCCCCAGGGGACAGCAGGUACGACAAUGAGAAGGUCCUUCUUACCUCAGAAGAGAGAAAAAUCAACUUCUGCAGCAUUGCCCCGAAUAGUUGGCGAAGAGAGUGUUGCGCAACCAUUGUAUAAAGGAGGAUAUGACGUUCAAAAAGGCCUGUUGAUUAAUGAUGGAAGUACCUCAAUGUUCCUUGAAUCAGGCUUCGCCGCCACCCCCUAUAAUCAAGUAGCUCACAAAGAGACAUUAUACAGACAAAGCCAUGGGAACUGAAGAAACAAAUACGCCAUUGGCACACCACCAGAACCAUGGCAGGAGAGCAGGACAAUGGGGAUAGCUACUGAUGAAGGUGAUCAGAACCAUAGUGCAAAAGAGGAGCAUGACGCCAGACCACUCACCCAACUUUUGUUUAAGACUCUAGAACAGGGGUUGGCAACCUUUCAGAAGUGGUGUGCCGAGUCUUCAUUUAUUCAUUCUAAUUUAAGGUUUCGCGUGCCAGUAAUACAUUAACGCUUUUAGAAGGGCUCUUUCUAUAAAAAUCUAUAAUAUAUAACUAAACUAUUGUUGUAUGUAAAGUAAAUAAGGAUUUUAACAUUUUUAAGCUUCAUUUAAAAUUAAAUUAAAAUGCAGAGCUCCCCGGACUGGUGGGCAGGACCCGGGCAGUGUGCCACUGAAAAUUAGCUCGCAUGCCGCCUUCAGCAUACAUGCCAUAGAUUGCCUACCCCUCCUUUAGAACCUUAACAGGACACUUCAAAUGAUUCAAAACACAGCGGGGUUGGGGAGCAGUAGAGAGAGAAGUUGUGUGGCUAAAUGUUUAAGAGGCUGAAGUAGAACUGGUGGAGGGGAAUGGUACUAAGAACUAGCCAUGGUAGCUCAGCUGGUAUGUGUGUUUAAGGUCAAUGAAUUAAGACCAUCCCAAGGCAAACUUUUUCCUUUCAAUACAAUGAGCUGAAGGUGCCCCUUGAUGCACAAAAUAAAGGUAUUAAGGCAUGCCUUACGUGCA